RNAcentral lists this ribosomal RNA (253 nucleotides) under uncultured Bacteroidales bacterium. Its description in RNAcentral is "partial 16S ribosomal RNA". It matches the Rfam family "Bacterial small subunit ribosomal RNA", at positions 524 to 776 of the family's 1533-position model. The record is from RNAcentral. Lineage: Bacteria; Pseudomonadati; Bacteroidota; Bacteroidia; Bacteroidales.
UACGGAAGGUCCGGGCGUUAUCCGGAUUUAUUGGGUUUAAAGGGAGCGUAGGCCGGCUUUUAAGUCAGCUGUGAAAGUCCGCGGCUCAACCGUGGAAUUGCAGUUGAAACUGGCAGUCUCGAGUUGGAGAGAAGUAUGCGGAAUGCGCGGUGUAGCGGUGAAAUGCAUAGAUAUCGCGCAGAACUCCGAUUGCGAAGGCAGCAUGCCGGCUCCACACUGACGCUGAGGCACGAAAGCGUGGGUAUCGAACAGG